Molecule: unclassified non-coding RNA, 240 nt
Filed under: uncultured fungus
Lineage: Eukaryota; Fungi
Description: sequence contains ITS1, 5.8S rRNA gene
Rfam family: 5.8S ribosomal RNA (bases 192-240)
Source: RNAcentral
UUUCCGUAGGUGAACCUGCGGAAGGAUCAUUACUGUUGGGUGCCCGGUGCCUAGCACCGCAGGCCCCAAUUUGAGGUAGUCACCCUUGCCUUUUGAGUACCCUUUCGUUUCCUCGGCGGGCUCGCCCGCCGGUGGACAACCAAAAACUCUUCUGUAAUAGCAGUAUCUUCUGAGAAAAAACAAAUAGUUAAAACUUUCAACAACGGAUCUCUUGGUUCUGGCAUCGAUGAAGAACGCAGC